Molecule: transfer RNA, 75 nt
Filed under: Tupaia belangeri chinensis (Chinese tree shrew)
Lineage: Eukaryota; Metazoa; Chordata; Mammalia; Scandentia; Tupaiidae
Description: Tupaia chinensis (Chinese tree shrew) tRNA
Rfam family: tRNA
About the family: Transfer RNA (tRNA) molecules are approximately 80 nucleotides in length.
Source: Rfam by way of RNAcentral
GUUAAGGUGGCAGAGCCCGAUAACUGCCUAAAACUUAAGAUUUUACAAUCAAAGGUUCAAUUCCUCUCCUUAACA